This 78-nucleotide antisense RNA is filed under the name Streptomyces sp. yr375. Its description in RNAcentral is "ASpks TB sRNA". It matches the Rfam family "ASpks TB sRNA". Lineage: Bacteria; Bacillati; Actinomycetota; Actinomycetes; Kitasatosporales; Streptomycetaceae. The record is from Rfam by way of RNAcentral.
CUUCACCGAGCCGAGCAGCAACGGCUGUCCGCUCGCCCCCCGCUCCUGGCCGUAGGCGGUCAGCAGGGCCUGGGCCUC